This 468-nucleotide ribosomal RNA is filed under the name uncultured bacterium. RNAcentral describes it as "partial 16S ribosomal RNA". It matches the Rfam family "Bacterial small subunit ribosomal RNA", at positions 28 to 507 of the family's 1533-position model. The record is from RNAcentral.
GACGAACGCUGGCGGCGUGCUUAACACAUGCAAGUCGAACGGAAAGGCCCUGCUUUUGUGGGGUGCUCGAGUGGCGAACGGGUGAGUAACACGUGAGUAACCUGCCCUUGACUUUGGGAUAACUUCAGGAAACUGGGGCUAAUACCGGAUAGGAGCUCCUGCUGUAUGGUGGGGGUUGGAAAGUUUCGGUGGUUGGGGAUGGACUCGCGGCUCAUCAGCUUGUUGGUGGGGUAGUGGAUUACCAAGGCUUUGACGGGUAGCCGGCCUGAGGGGGUGACCGGCCACAUUGGGACGGAAAUACGGCCCAGACUAGUACGGGAGGCAGCAGUGGGGAAUAUUGCACAAUGGGCGGAAGCCUGAUGCAGCCACGCCGCGUGGGGGAUGACGGCCUUCGGGUUGUAAACCGCUUUCGCCUGUGACGAAGCGUGAGUGACGGUAAUGGGUAAAGAAGCACCGGCUAACUACGUG